Molecule: ribosomal RNA, 495 nt
Filed under: uncultured bacterium
Lineage: Bacteria
Description: partial 16S ribosomal RNA
Rfam family: Bacterial small subunit ribosomal RNA
Source: RNAcentral
GACGAACGCUGGCGGCGUGCCUAAUACAUGCAAGUAGAACGCUGAAGGAGGAGCUUGCUUCUCUGGAUGAGUUGCGAACGGGUGAGUAACGCGUAGGUAACCUGCCUGGUAGCGGGGGAUAACUAUUGGAAACGAUAGCUAAUACCGCAUAAUAGCAGUUGUUGCAUGAUAACUGUUUGAAAGGUGCAAUUGCACCACUACCAGAUGGACCUGCGUUGUAUUAGCUAGUUGGUGGGGUAACGGCUCACCAAGGCGACGAUACAUAGCCGACCUGAGAGGGUGAUCGGCCACACUGGGACUGAGACACGGCCCAGACUCCUACGGGAGGCAGCAGUAGGGAAUCUUCGGCAAUGGACGGAAGUCUGACCGAGCAACGCCGCGUGAGUGAAGAAGGGUUUCGGAUCGUAAAGCUCUGUUGUAAGAGAAGAACGAGUGUGAGAGUGGAAAGUUCACACUGUGACGGUAGCUUACCAGAAAGGGACGGCUAACUACGUG